CAUCAGAACUUUUAACUGGGUGGAGCGAUUUCGACAAAUUUUCUUUUAAUCGAAAGGUGGUAUGUGGCAAUUGGUCCCAUUUAAAUUUAUUUGAGAUCUAACAACUACUUUUCGAGUUAUAUCUAAUAAUGUGUUUUUACUUGACGCUUUUUUCGUCGACCUACGUUGUAUUAUACCGCAUAACUUUCUACUGGAUGUACCGAUUUUGAUAAUUCUUUAUUUGUUGGAAAGGGGAUAUCCCUAGUUUGGUACCGUGAUAAGGAAACUAGGAUCUGAUGAUGGGAUCCUAGAGGAAUCGAGGGAAAAUCUCGAAAAUCCGUAAUAACUUUUAACUGGGUGUAC
RNAcentral lists this unclassified non-coding RNA (342 nucleotides) under Melitaea cinxia (Glanville fritillary). Its description in RNAcentral is "misc RNA ENSMCXG00005001949.1". The record is from RNAcentral. Lineage: Eukaryota; Metazoa; Arthropoda; Insecta; Lepidoptera; Nymphalidae.